This is a long non-coding RNA of Ornithorhynchus anatinus (platypus), 780 nucleotides long. RefSeq lists it as uncharacterized. The record is from RefSeq and is a predicted model, not a curated record. The transcript has 2 exons. NCBI's taxonomy places the organism in Eukaryota, Metazoa, Chordata, Mammalia, Monotremata, Ornithorhynchidae.
GGCACAAACCACUUCCUUUGAGAGUAUAGGACGUUUCAAAGAACUUGGUGACAAGAAGGUAAAGCUGUACAGAAGUGCCUGAAUUACUGACGCAAAAAUGGCACUCAUUGGUGCAUUGCUGAUCUUAUGGUCAGUUCCUUCAAUAUGUAUCGAAAAGAGAUUUGGUGUUACUGUUCGAUUUUCAUCUUCGAAGCAAAUAAUGGAAAUAGAGCUUCAAAGUGAAAAUCAGGACUUAAUAGAAACUUUGAAAACACUUCAUUUUAAGCUUCCAUGUGGAAUCCAGAGGGAAACAACUGUAAGCAACUACAACAAAAUCUCAUUCAUUUUCUCAACCUGGCUGGCAAAGGAUGAUGCAAGAGUGCUGUCACUUAAAUACAUUCUCCUUUAUAUGUCACAAGCUUUAGACUUUUCCACCAGAAGACAGAAGAUCAUGAGAAAAAUAAUGACCAAUUUAUCUAGACUGUGCCCUGUACACAAAAGAAGUAAAAGAUACUGAACAGACAGAAUGGUACUGGUCUAUUUAGCAAGUUUCAAAAGAAACACAAUCAACCAGUGGUAUUUAUUGAGCACUUCGUGUGUACAGAGCACUGUACUAAGCACUUGGGCAAGCAAAAUUCCACCUGGUUGGUAGAUGUGAUCCUUUCUCACAAGGAGCUUCCAGGAUGUACCACAAUUUGCUACUGCUGAAAAUGAGAAACUUCCACAGAAAUGGAUCUCUAAACCAUCUGUUUUUUUAAGGAUGUUCAUUAUUCUGAAAAUAAAGGGACUCUAAAAAAUGAG